Molecule: unclassified non-coding RNA, 213 nt
Filed under: plant metagenome
Description: partial contains small subunit ribosomal RNA, internal transcribed spacer 1, and 5.8S ribosomal RNA
Source: RNAcentral
UUUCCGUAGGUGAACCUGCGGAAGGAUCAUUCAUAAUAAGUGUUUUAUGGCACUUUUUUAAAUCCAUAUUCACCUUGUGUGCAAUGUCAGGGUUGAUUUUUCUCUCGAGAGGAUCAACCCCAAACAUCAACUAUAUCUCAACUCUUUGUCUGAAAAAUAUUAUGAAUAAAACAAUUCAAAAUACAACUUUCAACAACGGAUCUCUUGGCUCUC